Molecule: ribosomal RNA, 599 nt
Filed under: Tarumania walkerae (muckfish)
Lineage: Eukaryota; Metazoa; Chordata; Actinopteri; Characiformes; Tarumaniidae
Description: LSU rRNA
Rfam family: Bacterial large subunit ribosomal RNA
Source: RNAcentral
CAAAAACAUCGCCUUCUGCUAAUAUAUCCAUGUAUAGAAGGUCUCACCUGCCCGGUGAUCAUAGUAUUAAACGGCCGCGGUAUCCUGACCGUGCAAAGGUAGCGCAAUCACUUGUUCCUUAAAUAGGGACCUGUAUGAAUGGUCUAACGAGGGCUUAACUGUCUCCCUUCUCCCGUCAAUGAAAUUGAUCUAUCCGUGCAGAAGCGGGUGUACCCAUACAAGACGAGAAGACCCUUUGGAGCUUAAGAUAAAUAAUUAACUAUGUCAAAAUCCAUAAUUAAUCAAGAUUAGACAAAUAGACAUAAUUAUUAAAUCUUCGGUUGGGGCGACCCUGGGAGAAAACAAAGCUCCCAUGCAGAUUGGGGUAACCUAAAACUAAGAGAGACAUCUCUAAGUCACGAAACCUUCGACUAACAGAUCCAGUUAUUAAACUGAUUAGCGAAUCAAGUUACCCAAGGGAUAACAGCGCAAUCCUCUUUAAGAGCCCAUAUCGACAAGAGGGUUUACGACCUCGAUGUUGGAUCAGGAUAUCCUAAUGGUGCAGCCGCUAUUAAGGGUUCGUUUGUUCAACGAUUAAUAAUCCUACGUGAUCUGAGUCC